Molecule: non-coding RNA, 80 nt
Submitted as: unclassified sequences
Source: Rfam
GUAUUGAAUCUUGGUGGGGAAUUAAUGUGAAAUUCAUUAGCUGUUCCUGCAACGGAUAAAGUCCGAGUGCCACCCAAUAU